Molecule: long non-coding RNA, 254 nt
Organism: Telopea speciosissima
Lineage: Eukaryota; Viridiplantae; Streptophyta; Magnoliopsida; Proteales; Proteaceae
Exons: 3
Source: RefSeq, a predicted model, not a curated record
GUAUUGGAGUUGGCAGGAAAUGCAGCUAGGGAUAACAAGAAGACGAGGAUUGUUCCAAGGCAUAUUCAAUUGGUGGUAAGGAACGAUGAAGAUUUGAGCAAGUUUCUUGGCGCUGUUACAAUAGCCAACGGUAGUGUGAUGCCUAACAUUCACAAUCUCUUGUUGCCGAAGAAGACUGGUACCGUUCGUCAAAGUGCGUUGCUGCCGAUAACGACAGUUAAAUAAUCUCUGUUUUUGAGCGGUAGAAGAUGAAA